Molecule: ribosomal RNA, 402 nt
Filed under: uncultured bacterium
Lineage: Bacteria
Description: bacterial SSU rRNA
Rfam family: Bacterial small subunit ribosomal RNA
Source: RNAcentral
UGGGGAAUAUUGGACAAUGGGGGCAACCCUGAUCCAGCAAUGCCGCGUGAGUGAUGAAGGCCUUCGGGUUGUAAAGCUCUUUUGUUAGGGACGAUAAUGACGGUACCUAACGAAUAAGCUCCGGCUAACUUCGUGCCAGCAGCCGCGGUAAUACGAAGGGAGCUAGCGUUGUUCGGAAUUACUGGGCGUAAAGGGCGCGUAGGCGGUUAUCUAAGUCAGAUGUGAAAGCCUUGGGCUUAACCUGAGAAUUGCAUUUGAUACUGGAUAACUAGAGAUCGAGAGAGGUAAGUGGAAUUACGAGUGUAGAGGUGAAAUUCGUAGAUAUUCGUAAGAACACCAGUGGCGAAGGCGGCUUACUGGCUCGAUACUGACGCUAAGGCGCGAAAGCGUGGGGAGCAAACA